CAUGCAAGUCGAACGGCAGCACGGGUACUUGUACCUGGUGGCGAGUGGCGAACGGGUGAGCAAUACAUCGGAACGUACCUUAUCGUGGGGGAUAACGCAGCGAAAGCUGUGUAAUACCGCAUACGCCCUGAGGGGGAAAGCGGGGGAUCGAAAGACCUCGCGCGAUUAGAGCGGCCGAUGCUUGAUUAGCUUGUUGGUGGGGUAAAAGCCCACCAAGGCGACGAUCAAUAGCUGGUCUGAGAGGACGAUCAGCCACACUGGGACUGAGACACGGCCCAGACUCCUACGGGAGGCAGCAGUGGGGAAUUUUGGACAAUGGGGGCAACCCUGAUCCAGCAAUGCCGCGUGAGUGAAGAAGGCCUUCGGGUUGUAAAGCUCUUUUGUCAGGGAAGAAACACCGGCUCUAACACAGUCCGGGAAUGACGGUACCUGAA
This 434-nucleotide ribosomal RNA is filed under the name uncultured bacterium. Its description in RNAcentral is "bacterial SSU rRNA". It matches the Rfam family "Bacterial small subunit ribosomal RNA", at positions 54 to 483 of the family's 1533-position model. The record is from RNAcentral.